CGGUUACCUGAUCGCCCGCCAGGCGGACAUCUCGG
This 35-nucleotide non-coding RNA is filed under the name Alexandrium minutum. The record is from RNAcentral. Lineage: Eukaryota; Dinophyceae; Gonyaulacales; Pyrocystaceae.